This 468-nucleotide ribosomal RNA is filed under the name uncultured bacterium. RNAcentral describes it as "partial 16S ribosomal RNA". It matches the Rfam family "Bacterial small subunit ribosomal RNA", at positions 28 to 507 of the family's 1533-position model. The record is from RNAcentral.
GACGAACGCUGGCGGCGUGCUUAACACAUGCAAGUCGAACGGUAAGGCCCUGCUUUUGCGGGGUGCUCGAGUGGCGAACGGGUGAGUAACACGUGAGUAACCUGCCCUUGACUUUGGGAUAACUUCAGGAAACUGGGGCUAAUACCGGAUAGGAGAUCCUGCUGCAUGGAGGGGGUUGGAAAGUUUCGGCGGCUGGGGAUGGACUCGCGGCUUAUCAGCUUGUUGGUGGGGUAGUGGCUUACCAAGGCUUUGACGGGUAGCCGGCCUGAGAGGGUGACCGGCCACAUUGGGACUGAGAUACGGCCCAGACUCCUACGGGGGGCAGCAGUGGGGAAUAUUGCACAAUGGGCGGAAGCCUGAUGCGGCAACGCCGCGGUCGGGAUGACGGCCUGCGGGUUGUAAACCGCUUUCGCCUGUGACGAAGCGUGAGUGACGGUAAUGGGUAAAGAAGCACCGGCUAACUACGUG